RNAcentral lists this ribosomal RNA (380 nucleotides) under uncultured eukaryote. RNAcentral describes it as "partial 18S ribosomal RNA". It matches the Rfam family "Eukaryotic small subunit ribosomal RNA", at positions 592 to 976 of the family's 1831-position model. The record is from RNAcentral.
CAAUAGCGUAUAUUAAAGUUGUUGCAGUUAAAAAGCUCGUAGUUGGAUUUGUGGCGUACGGUGUGUUCCGGGCACUUGUUGUCUGAGUAACCUGCUGUUGCCAUCCUUGGGUGGAACCUGUGUGGCAUUAGGUUGUCGUGCAGGGGAUGCCCAUCAUUUACUGUGAAAAAAUUAGAGUGUUCAAAGCAGGCUUAUGCAGUUGAAUAUAUUAGCAUGGAAUAAUGAGAUAGGACUUUUUUGCUAUUUUGUUGGUUUGCGCAAAGAGGUAAUGAUUAAUAGGGACAGUUGGGGGUAUUCGUAUUCCAUUGUCAGAGGUGAAAUUCUUGGAUUUUUGGAAGACGAACUACUGCGAAAGCAUUUACCAAGGAUGUUUUCAUUAA